AUCGUUCAUCCCUUCUGAAGUAGAGAAGGGACGGAAGUAGGGAGAGAGCCCGAAGGAACGCGCC
This 64-nucleotide non-coding RNA is filed under the name Desertifilum tharense IPPAS B-1220. Its description in RNAcentral is "Desertifilum sp. IPPAS B-1220 Glutamine riboswitch aptamer (glnA leader)". It matches the Rfam family "Glutamine riboswitch aptamer (glnA leader)". RNAcentral also lists the same sequence under 1 other name. The record is from Rfam by way of RNAcentral. Lineage: Bacteria; Bacillati; Cyanobacteriota; Cyanophyceae; Desertifilales; Desertifilaceae.